Syngnathoides biaculeatus (alligator pipefish) is the source of this 573-nucleotide long non-coding RNA. RefSeq lists it as uncharacterized. NCBI's taxonomy places the organism in Eukaryota, Metazoa, Chordata, Actinopteri, Syngnathiformes, Syngnathidae. The transcript has 4 exons. The record is from RefSeq and is a predicted model, not a curated record.
AACUCAUUCUGUGUUUUGUGUGCAGGUCAUAGAGCUGUGAAUUAAGUAUUGCUUUGACGCCAUUUUAUGUCAUCUUCCUGCCAAGGAAUUGAUGCUGAAGUCAGGGGAGGAGGAUUCAUAUAGCUCGGCCAUAGCCAAAAGUAGUGCUUUGCCGUUACUUUGUGGCUGCAGCUCUCGGCAAUUCUGUACCUUUGAGACUGAGCUCAGUUCCUUUUGUAUUCCUGGUAUUGUGCCAUUGAUGGGCUGGACUACUUCUGCAUGCAGUUUGUGGGUUGAAGACUAUCGCAUUUGAGGAGGGAUAUCCCCAGAUUGGUCCAUUCCAUUCCACUCCAUCAUAGGGCGCAUAGCCUCACAGAAGAAAGGUUCCAGAGGUUGGACGAUAUAGCAAUCCUAUCUUGACAGAAGCAGGGUUGAAAUCUCUGGCACGAGGCCGACAUAUCUAGAUAGAGAUGAUGAGCCAUUCCUGAGGCAGGGGGCGGGAGAGAAUGAUGUUGAGUCUUGGAAGCGCGCUCGACCCCGCCGCACUGCCACCGCCACUGCUGCCUCAUCAGGCCUCUCCGACCUCCCGGGAAG